AGAGUUUGAUCUGGCUCAGGAUGAACGCUGGCGGCGUGCCUAACACAUGCAAGUCGAGCGAUUUACUUCGGUAAAGAGCGGCGGACGGGUGAGUAACGCGUGGGUAACCUGCCCUGUACACACGGAUAACAUACCGAAAGGUAUGCUAAUACGGGAUAAUGUACUUUUGUCGCAUGGCAAAAGUAUCAAAGCUCCGGCGGUACAGGAUGGACCCGCGUCUGAUUAGCUAGUUGGAGAGGUAAUGGCUCACCAAGGCAACGAUCAGUAGCCGACCUGAGAGGGUGAUCGGCCACAUUGGAACUGAGACACGGUCCAAACUCCUACGGGAGGCAGCAGUGGGGAAUAUUGCACAAUGGGCGAAAGCCUGAUGCAGCAACGCCGCGUGAGCGAUGAAGGCCUUCGGGUCGUAAAGCUCUGUCCUCAAGGAAGAUAAUGACGGUACUUGAGGAGGAAGCCCCGGCUAACUACGUGCCAGCAGCCGCGGUA
RNAcentral lists this ribosomal RNA (486 nucleotides) under uncultured Bacillota bacterium. RNAcentral's name for it is "bacterial SSU rRNA". It matches the Rfam family "Bacterial small subunit ribosomal RNA", at positions 8 to 522 of the family's 1533-position model. Lineage: Bacteria; Bacillati; Bacillota. The record is from RNAcentral.